RNAcentral lists this transfer RNA (73 nucleotides) under Chloroflexota bacterium. Its description in RNAcentral is "tRNA-Gly". It matches the Rfam family "tRNA". From Rfam's summary of the family: Transfer RNA (tRNA) molecules are approximately 80 nucleotides in length. Their secondary structure includes four short double-helical elements and three loops (D, anti-codon, and T loops). Further hydrogen bonds mediate the characteristic L-shaped molecular structure. tRNAs have two regions of fundamental functional importance: the anti-codon, which is responsible for specific mRNA codon recognition, and the 3' end, to which the tRNAs corresponding amino acid is attached (by aminoacyl-tRNA synthetases). tRNAs cope with the degeneracy of the genetic code in two manners: having more than one tRNA (with a specific anti-codon) for a particular amino acid; and 'wobble' base-pairing, i.e. permitting non-standard base-pairing at the 3rd anti-codon position. The record is from RNAcentral. Lineage: Bacteria; Bacillati; Chloroflexota.
GCGGGUGUAACUCAGUUGGCAGAGUGUCUGCUUCCCAAGCAGAAUGUCAGGAGUUCGAACCUCCUCACCCGCU